AACCGUACAAGUCGAGUCGCCACCGCACUUCUAUUUAUCCAAAGGAAUGGUUAGAAAGCGAACAAAAACCUAAAAGUUUUAUCGAAUCAAAAACUAGUAAAAAUGUCAGAGAUCUGGGUAAGGGGGUUGGUUAUGCAAUGGGAAGGUUUUAAGCACCCAAAACAUCCUAGGUACUCCUAGGGAGCCCUUUUCAUAUUUGUUGUAAGGUUGGUAUUUUGUGAAAA
RNAcentral lists this long non-coding RNA (224 nucleotides) under Lathyrus oleraceus (garden pea). Its description in RNAcentral is "Pisum sativum (pea) long non-coding RNA (PSAT_LNC002869)". The record is from RNAcentral. Lineage: Eukaryota; Viridiplantae; Streptophyta; Magnoliopsida; Fabales; Fabaceae.